UAGGGAAUCUUCCACAAUGGACGCAAGUCUGAUGGAGCAACGCCGCGUGAGUGAAGGAGGUCUUCGGAUCGUAAAACUCCGUUGUUAGAGAAGAACACGAGUGAGAGUAACUGUUCAUUCGAUGACGGUAUCUAACCAGCAAGUCACGGCUAACUACGUGCCAG
Molecule: ribosomal RNA, 164 nt
Filed under: uncultured bacterium
Lineage: Bacteria
Description: partial 16S rRNA
Rfam family: Bacterial small subunit ribosomal RNA
Source: RNAcentral